Molecule: ribosomal RNA, 253 nt
Filed under: uncultured bacterium
Lineage: Bacteria
Description: partial 16S ribosomal RNA
Rfam family: Bacterial small subunit ribosomal RNA
Source: RNAcentral
UACGUAGGGUGCGAGCGUUGUCCGGAAUUAUUGGGCGUAAAGAGCUUGUAGGCGGUCUGUCGCGUCUGCUGUGAAAAUCCGGGGCUCAACCCCGGACUUGCAGUGGGUACGGGCAGACUAGAGUGUGGUAGGGGAGACUGGAAUUCCUGGUGUAGCGGUGAAAUGCGCAGAUAUCAGGAGGAACACCGAUGGCGAAGGCAGGUCUCUGGGCUGACACUGACGCUGAGGAGCGAAAGCGUGGGGAGCGAACAGG